GACAUAAAAAGCAAAUUGUCUGUAAAAAGCCCCAAGCAAUUUGCGCGUCAGCCUUUUUAAGUUGGUGUAAUAUUAGCCACACUUACACUCAGUAUUGUAAACUACAGUUGUCAAAGGCACCUGCGUCUCCCAGCGUUUACCAACAUUUAGAUUUUGUGUUAAAGAAAAAAGAAAAAAAGAAUUCACUGGUAAUCUUCUGAGGAGUUAAACCAGAAGUAGAUCUGGAAAAUAUGUUAACCAGUCUUCAAAAGUAUUUCCGUUCCCGGAAGUCUUCACACCCUUUGUGACUAUGCCUUUUGUGACAUUUCCACACAUGUGACCUUCACACUCACCACGUUGAUUCCAACAGACAAGUCGUGGUCAGGGUUUUAUAGAGAUGGUAAGCAGCUUGGCUAAAGGUUAUUACUAUGAAGGCUCGGAGGGGGAGACCGAGUGCUCUCGCUGAAGCGAAUUCAAAGGAGUUACUCAUCUUGUGUGCAUUUCCAUGGAACCUCAUCAUCAGUUCGGGUGUCUACAACCUUCAUUGUGGAGUGGAUGAACCAAGAAGUGGGAUUUCACCAGACAUCAACCUUGAUCAACACCUUGAUCUCGGACUUCCCAGUCUCCAGAACUAUGAGAAAUGAAUUCCUGUUGUUUAUAAGCCACUGCAUCUAUGGGACUUUGUUAUAGCAGCCCAAAGUGACCAAGACAUCAUUCAACAUUGCUCACCAUCUCAGUCUUAGAGUACUUUUGAAUGGUGACUUCCUUUCUUAGGUGACAUAACUCACUACUAGUCAUCUCAAUUUGUGGGUGGAAAUAAAACACUUACAUCAUCCUGAUUCA
Molecule: long non-coding RNA, 822 nt
Filed under: Vulpes vulpes (red fox)
Lineage: Eukaryota; Metazoa; Chordata; Mammalia; Carnivora; Canidae
Description: lncRNA (ENSVVUG00000021422.1)
Source: RNAcentral